CGCAGGCUGCAACCCGCCUGCGUGAAGUUGGAAUCGCUAGUAAUCGCGGAUCAGCAUGCCGCGGUGAAUACGUUCCCGGGCCUUGUACACACCGCCCGUCACACCAUGAGAGUCGGGAACACCCGAAGUCCGUAGCCUAACCGCAAGGGGGGCGCGGCCGAAGGUGGGUUCGAUAAUUGGGGUGAAGUCGUAACAAGGUAUC
This 202-nucleotide ribosomal RNA is filed under the name uncultured bacterium. Its description in RNAcentral is "partial 16S ribosomal RNA". It matches the Rfam family "Bacterial small subunit ribosomal RNA", at positions 1299 to 1500 of the family's 1533-position model. The record is from RNAcentral.